Molecule: transfer RNA, 71 nt
Filed under: Bos taurus (domestic cattle)
Lineage: Eukaryota; Metazoa; Chordata; Mammalia; Artiodactyla; Bovidae
Also listed under: 2 other names
Source: Rfam by way of RNAcentral
UCCUGUGUGGCUGAGUGGUAAAGAAUCUGCCUGCCAAGCUGGAGACACAGGUUCGAUCUCUGAGUCGGGAA